GUGAGGAAUAUUGGACAAUGGGCGCAAGCCUGAUCCAGCCAUGCCGCGUGCAGGAAGACGCAUCUAUGGUGUGUAAACUGCUUUUGUACGGGAAGAAACACUCCCUCGUGAGGGAGCUUGACGGUACCGUAAGAAUAAGGAUCGGCUAACUCCGUGCCAGCAGCCGCGGUAAUACGGAGGAUCCAAGCGUUAUCCGGAAUCAUUGGGUUUAAAGGGUCCGUAGGCAGUUUAAUAAGUCAGUGGUGAAAGCCCAUCGCUCAACGAUGGAACGGCCAUUGAUACUGUUAGACUUGAAUUACAAGGAAGUAACUAGAAUAUGUAGUGUAGCGGUGAAAUGCUUAGAUAUUACAUGGAAUACCAAUUGCGAAGGCAGGUUACUACUUGUGGAUUGACGCUGAUGGACGAAAGCGUGGGGAGCGAACAGGAUUAGAAACCCCGGUAGUCC
RNAcentral lists this ribosomal RNA (445 nucleotides) under uncultured bacterium. Its description in RNAcentral is "partial 16S ribosomal RNA". It matches the Rfam family "Bacterial small subunit ribosomal RNA", at positions 354 to 796 of the family's 1533-position model. The record is from RNAcentral.